Non-coding RNA from Schizosaccharomyces pombe (fission yeast), 362 nucleotides. NCBI's taxonomy places the organism in Eukaryota, Fungi, Ascomycota, Schizosaccharomycetes, Schizosaccharomycetales, Schizosaccharomycetaceae. The record is from the annotation of a GenBank genome assembly.
AAAUUUUUUGCUCAGAAGCUUCAUAUUGCUCUAAGGGUAAAGGCUCCUCAUCUUUGGGCUUUUUUGAAAAUGGAUUCAACUUGAAGCCCAUUUUCCGCUAUACUAGUGAAACCUCUGAAGUUGAGUGAAACGGUCUUGUAUUAAACAGUAACAAAAUUAGCAAAUAAGCUGAAAAUGAAGGAGACUUUCACUUUCAACGAAAUUGAUGAAUUAAAUAAAGCAAAAAUAAGCUAAACCACAAUGAUCAGAUAAGUAUUUAUUCAACAAUGCAGGGAGAAUUUACUGCUGCAACAAAAAAAGACUUUUGCUUUUAGAUACAAACAAACUUGAAUGACUAAACUAAACAAACAAUCCCAAACAAU